AGGACGAACGCUGGCGGCGUGCUUAACACAUGCAAGUCGAGCGGUAAGGCCCUUUCGGGGGUACACGAGCGGCGAACGGGUGAGUAACACGUGAGCAAUCUGCCCUUCACUUCGGGAUAAGCCUCGGAAACGGGGUCUAAUACCGGACAUGACCGCGCCAUGCAUGUGGUGUGGUGGAAAGUUCUGGCGGUGGAGGAUGAGCUCGCGGCCUAUCAGCUUGUUGGUGGGGUAAUGGCCUACCAAGGCUUCGACGGGUAGCCGGCCUGAGAGGGUGACCGGCCACACUGGGACUGAGACACGGCCCAGACUCCUACGGGAGGCAGCAGUGGGGAAUAUUGGACAAUGGGCGAAAGCCUGAUCCAGCAACGCCGCGUGAGGAUGACGGCCUUCGGGUUGUAAACCUCUUUCAGCGCCGACGAAGCGAGAGUGACGGUAGCGCAGAAGAAGCACCGGCCAACUACGUGCCAGCAGCCGAC
Molecule: ribosomal RNA, 476 nt
Filed under: uncultured soil bacterium
Lineage: Bacteria
Description: bacterial SSU rRNA
Rfam family: Bacterial small subunit ribosomal RNA
Source: RNAcentral